Molecule: non-coding RNA, 97 nt
Filed under: marine eukaryotic metagenome
Description: Pyrrolysine insertion sequence mttB
Rfam family: Pyrrolysine insertion sequence mttB
Source: RNAcentral
GGCAGAUUCAAAAUUACCUGACAAUCAGGCGGGUCAUGAAAAAGGAACCACAGUAACGCUUGCCGCUCAGGCAGGAGCGAACAUAGUCUUUGAAUCA